UAGGGAAUCUUCGGCAAUGGACGAAAGUCUGACCGAGCAACGCCGCGUGAGUGAAGAAGGUUUUCGGAUCGUAAAACUCUGUUGUUAGAGAAGAACAAGGACGUUAGUAACUGAACGUCCCCUGACGGUAUCUAACCAGAAAGCCACGGCUAACUACGUGCCAGCAGCCGCGGUAAUACGUAGGUGGCAAGCGUUGUCCGGAUUUAUUGGGCGUAAAGCGAUCGCAGGCGGUUUCUUAAGUCUGAUGUGAAAGCCCCCGGCUCAACCGGGGAGGGUCAUUGGAAACUGGGAGACUUGAGUGCAGAAGAGGAGAGUGGAAUUCCAUGUGUAGCGGUGAAAUGCGUAGAUAUAUGGAGGAACACCAGUGGCGAAGGCGGCUCUCUGGUCUGUAACUGACGCUGAGGCUCGAAAGCGUGGGGAGCAAACAGG
RNAcentral lists this ribosomal RNA (429 nucleotides) under Gemmatimonadota bacterium. Its description in RNAcentral is "Gemmatimonadetes bacterium partial 16S ribosomal RNA". It matches the Rfam family "Bacterial small subunit ribosomal RNA", at positions 355 to 776 of the family's 1533-position model. Lineage: Bacteria; Pseudomonadati; Gemmatimonadota. The record is from RNAcentral.